UUGAUGUGAAUUAAUUAUUAGAUUCUACUCAUUUUUCGUAAUUUAUAUUUAUUUCAGGGAGUAGAACAAAAAUAUCACAAUCAAGGCCAAUUUGACAAUUAUCAAGAAAGAGUUCAAGUAGCAGGCAUCUAGGGACAUUUUUGGAAUAUCAAACCACAACCCUUCUUGGUAAUUGGCCCGCAGACAGCAUUAAAAGGAGG
This 200-nucleotide long non-coding RNA is filed under the name Coffea arabica (coffee). RNAcentral describes it as "long non-coding RNA (CARA_LNC008332)". The record is from RNAcentral. Lineage: Eukaryota; Viridiplantae; Streptophyta; Magnoliopsida; Gentianales; Rubiaceae.